Molecule: transfer RNA, 89 nt
Filed under: Candidatus Paraimprobicoccus trichonymphae
Lineage: Bacteria; Bacillati; Bacillota; Clostridia
Description: tRNA-Ser
Rfam family: tRNA
About the family: Transfer RNA (tRNA) molecules are approximately 80 nucleotides in length.
Source: RNAcentral
GGAGAGAUGUCCGAGCGGUUUAAGGAGCUAGUCUUGAAAACUAGUGUUUUCGAAAGAAACCAAGGGUUCGAAUCCCUUUCUCUCCGCCA